RNAcentral lists this ribosomal RNA (450 nucleotides) under uncultured bacterium. RNAcentral's name for it is "bacterial SSU rRNA". It matches the Rfam family "Bacterial small subunit ribosomal RNA", at positions 64 to 507 of the family's 1533-position model. The record is from RNAcentral.
GAGCGGUAACAGGCGUAGCAAUACGUGCUGACGAGCGGCGAACGGGUGAGUAAUGCUUCGGAAUCUGCCCAAUGGUGGGGAAUAACCAGCCGAAAGGUUGGCUAAUACCGCAUGAGCCCUUCGGGGGAAAGCAGGGGAUCGUAAGACCUUGCGCCGAUGGAUGAGCCGAAGUCGGAUUAGCUAGUUGGUAGGGUAACGGCCUACCAAGGCGACGAUCCGUAGCUGGUCUGAGAGGACGACCAGCCACACUGGGACUGAGACACGGCCCAGACUCCUACGGGAGGCAGCAGUGGGGAAUAUUGGACAAUGGGGGAAACCCUGAUCCAGCGACGCCGCGUGUGUGAAGAAGGCCUGCGGGUUGUAAAGCACUUUUAGUGGGGAUGAAAAGCUCAGGGCUAAUACCUCUGGGUCUUGACCUAAUCCACAGAAAAAGCACCGGCUAACUCUGUG